UACGUAGGGUGCAAGCGUUGUCCGGAAUUAUUGGGCGUAAAGAGCUCGUAGGCGGUCUGUCGCGUCGGCUGUGAAAACUCGGGGCUCAACCCCGAGCCUGCAGUCGAUACGGGCAGACUAGAGUGCGGUAGGGGAGACUGGAAUUCCUGGUGUAGCGGUGAAAUGCGCAGAUAUCAGGAGGAACACUGGUGGCGAAGGCGGGUCUCUGGGCCGUAACUGACGCUGAGGAGCGAAAGCGUGGGGAGCAAACAGGAUUAGAUACCCUGGUAGUCCACGCCGUAAACGGUGGGUGCUAGGUGUAGGCGGUAUUCCACGCCGUCUGUGCCGCAGCUAACGCAUUAAGCACCCCGCCUGGGGAGUACGGCCGCAAGGCUAAAACUCAAAG
Molecule: ribosomal RNA, 385 nt
Filed under: uncultured bacterium
Lineage: Bacteria
Description: bacterial SSU rRNA
Rfam family: Bacterial small subunit ribosomal RNA
Source: RNAcentral